This is a long non-coding RNA of Neofelis nebulosa (Clouded leopard), 682 nucleotides long. RefSeq lists it as uncharacterized. The transcript has 3 exons. The record is from RefSeq and is a predicted model, not a curated record. Lineage: Eukaryota; Metazoa; Chordata; Mammalia; Carnivora; Felidae.
UGCCCUCCUUAAUGCUUGUCACCCAUUUAACCCACCCCGACACCCCCCACCCCAAUCAACCCUCAGUUCAUUCUCUGUAUUCAAGAAUCUCUUAUGGUUUGCCUCCCUCUCUGCUUUUAUCUUCUUUUUCCUUUUAUCUUCUUUUUCCUUCCCCUAUGUUCAUCUGUUAAGGGUUUCAAAUUCCACAUAUGGGUGAAAUCAUGUAAUAUCUGUCUUUCUCUGACUGACUUAUUGCGCUUGAAUAAUUAAGAUCUUUAAUGGAAAAUUGUGCAAUCUUCUGUCCUAGGAGAUUUUACGAAGCCUCUUGGCCCCAAAGGAAGUAAUCAGACCAAAAAUGAUUUCUCGGAAGUUGCCUGAGUGAAUCCUUUGAAUGAAAGCAACCAUCUCAAAAACCAUAAACAGCAGAUUAAGGCUUUGAAGGGAGAAGUGAGAGCUGCACAGUCUUGGCUGGGAGGGAAAAGAACAUGGAAGAUGGCCACAUUUAUAUCCCACCAAAUUCCCUUUAAGUGUUUGUUUUUUUUUAGGUAAUCUCUACUCUGUACCCCAUGUGGAGCUUGAACUCAGGACCCUAGGAUCAAGAGUUGUAUGCUCCACUGACUGAGCCAGCCAGAUGCCCCUCCCUUCACAUCUUAAUCAGCAUAUGGACGUAUAUUUUAUAUCGUCAGAGUUUGUGUGUGCCAUU